Hippopotamus amphibius kiboko is the source of this 1981-nucleotide long non-coding RNA. RefSeq lists it as uncharacterized. The record is from RefSeq and is a predicted model, not a curated record. NCBI's taxonomy places the organism in Eukaryota, Metazoa, Chordata, Mammalia, Artiodactyla, Hippopotamidae. The transcript is spliced from 3 exons.
GUCGGCCAGCAUGCGGUUGCAGAGCGCCGCGUACGGGUUGAGCAGCACCAGCUGGCGCCGCGCGAACGGGCUGCCCAGCCGCGCCGCCCGCUCGAAGUCCCCGCGGGCGUCGUCGUCCCGGCCCUGCAGCCGCGCCACGAGCCCGCGCUGCACGAAGCCCUGGCGGGCGGCGCGGCCCCGGCCGCCGCUCAGCACCAGCGCGCGCUCCAGGUCCUCCAGGGCACCUGCGGGACGGACGGACGGGCGGGGUCAGGGCCUCGGCCGCCCGCGAUCCGGCCCCGAGUGGAGGCUCUGGGCCUCGGCCGUCUACAUCCCGCUUGCACUUGACCCUAGAAGUCGGCAUUGUUAUUCCCGUUACGCAGAUGAAGACUGGAAGAGUUGGCAAGCCUCGGCCUGAGCUGCGCAGCCAGUUAAGAGGCAGAGCUGGGACUAAAAGUCCAGGUCUCGCCUUAUCCGUGUUGUUUUCUCCCAUCUGAUACAUCAAAACACGGACGGAUGGUCACUAUGUUAUGAAUCUGGCCCCAUUGCCCGGCCCGUAGCAGGCGAUUUAUUCAACACAUAAUGUUAUUAACCAUCUAUCAUGUGCCAGGGCAUCAUGCAGGAUCUUAGUUCCGCGAGCAGGAAUUGAACCCGUGCCCUGCAGUGGAAGCGCGGAUUCUUAACACCUGGACCGCCAGGGAAGUCCCUCUCUAAUUUUUAAAAACAUUUCUCUCCUCUUUUCCAUUGUGUGCCUUAAAACUGCUUCUUUCACCUGUGUUCUCUACUGACUGCCUCUACUCCUUCUUUACUUCCAUGGUCUUCAUUAUUUUGUAUCUGGUUUUCUUAGAAGGAGGUGUUGGAGCCGAGCUGACCUGCAGCAUUUUUGUUUUUAUCAUCCUCAUAAAUACUUGGCUUAUUAGGCAUCAGAGCCACCAUCUGGUAUCCACUGUAGGGUCUACCCAGCUGCAUUUCUCCUGGACUCUGCUUCAGUUCACUCAAGUUCUCUAGGCUAUAGCAUCUGUCAGGGCAGGGCACUGGGGGAGCGCCAGCAGCAUCCUACAGCAAGGCUGACCUUCCCUGUCCUCUCUCUGUGUGUUUUGGUCCCCGGAACCCAGCAGGGGCUCUGGUCCCCACCCAAACUGCUCGGCUGAGAAGCUCUCUAAUCACAGCAUUCCUUGGUUUCCCUCAGAGGAGCUGGUCAGGAGGAACUGAAGGCCUCCUCCAGGCAGCCUCCCCUCUGAUGCUCUCUGGGGCUUUGGUCUGCAGGCUGUCCCCAGUGGCCUUUAUGGCCUUGCUUGCCAAAGCCAGGUGGCAGAUAAGCCUGGGGAAGGGGCCCUCGGAGUCCCCUGAUAUUCCCAGAAUGGAGUCCAAACACCCCAGCCUGGCAUUCUUGGCCCCAGGAACACCUCCACUACCACGAGUCUUGAUAGUCUAGUAGUUCCCUACUAGGCUUCUGUGGUUUACCCUUUAGUUGAAACCCUUAAGUGAUUCCUGGUGUUUUGAAGACAAAGUCUGAUCUCGGCCUGAUGUUCCCAGUUGUUCACUCUCUGGCCCCUGUUUACCUCUCUAGGCUCUGGAGAGGCUCCAUCCUUCCAGCACUUCCUUUUCCAGCCAGAUUCCCCAUACCUGUCCAUGACUUCAGGUCCUCCACAGGCUGUGCCUUCUCCCACUCCUUGCCCUCCAUCCAGCUAAACCCUACUCAUCCUUCAAAACUCACCCCUCAGGAACAGAUCCCAAUCUGAACCCUCUCAGCUUGUUAUGCUGCUAUUGUAUUUGUCUGUUCUACUGUCUAGGCUGUGAGCUUCUUGAGAAGCAGUGUCAUGUGGGGAUGAACAGCACAGGCGCUGGAGCCCUGCCACCUGCACCAAAUCCCAGCUCUGCCACUUCUCAGCUGCGUCCAACCCAACAGUGUCUCCGAACGGGGUGUCGGGGUUGAAGAUGGCCUGCAACACUGCCUGAUCAUUUGGAGUCCCCAUGUUGCUCAGCUCCAAAAUGCAGAAAG